UACCCGCUGAAUUUAAGCAUAUAAUUAAGCGGAGGAAAAGAAACUAACUAGGAUUGGUCUAGUAACGGCGAGUGAAGCGCCAUCAGCCCAGCUUGUGAAUCGUCACUCGUGACGAAUUGUGGUAUGCAGGCCUUUUCGCUAAGCUCGCGGACUAAGUCCCCUGGAAUGGGGCAGCAUAGAGGGUGAGACUCCCGUGUGUCUGCUUGCGUGAGGAUUGGCCGAAGAGUCGAGUUGUUUGGGAUUGCAGCUCUAAGUGGGUGGUAAAUUCCAUCCAAGGCUAAAUAUUGGUGAGAGACCGAUAGCGUACAAGUACCGUGAGGGAAAGAUGCAAAGUCGCGCGAGAGCGCUGUCAAAGAGUACCUGAAAUUGCUGAAAAGGAAGCGAAGGAAACCAGUGUAAGCCAUUCCGCACUUCCCCGAUUGCUUGCGGUCGGGGCGCUGCUGCUGGUGUUGUUCCGGUUGGCGCCCUGCAGCGGAUGAUUAUGGCGCUGCAGGUUGUUGAUUUGGACCAAAUGGUUUUCUUCUCCCCGUCUUGAAACACGGACCAAGG
Molecule: ribosomal RNA, 549 nt
Filed under: Surirella angusta
Lineage: Eukaryota; Bacillariophyta; Bacillariophyceae; Surirellales; Surirellaceae
Description: eukaryotic LSU rRNA
Rfam family: Eukaryotic large subunit ribosomal RNA
Source: RNAcentral